GGGCGAGUGGUGAAACUGGUAUACACGCAGGUUUUAGGAACCUGUGCCGUAAAAAGCGUGGAGGUUCGAGUCCUCUCUCGCCCA
RNAcentral lists this transfer RNA (84 nucleotides) under Candidatus Woesebacteria bacterium. RNAcentral's name for it is "tRNA-Leu". It matches the Rfam family "tRNA". Rfam says of the family: Transfer RNA (tRNA) molecules are approximately 80 nucleotides in length. Their secondary structure includes four short double-helical elements and three loops (D, anti-codon, and T loops). Lineage: Bacteria; Candidatus Woeseibacteriota. The record is from RNAcentral. RNAcentral also lists the same sequence under 2 other names.